AGCCCGAGUAAACGGCGGCCGUAACUAUAACGGUCCUAAGGUAGCGAAAUUCCUUGUCGGUUAAAUACCGACCUGCAUGAAUGGCGUAACGAGAUGGGAGCUGUCUCAACCAGAGAUUCAGUGAAAUUGUAGUGGAGGUGAAAAUUCCUCCUACCCGCGGCAAGACGGAAAGACCCCGUGGAC
RNAcentral lists this ribosomal RNA (183 nucleotides) under Helicobacter pylori. RNAcentral's name for it is "partial 23S ribosomal RNA". It matches the Rfam family "Bacterial large subunit ribosomal RNA", at positions 1916 to 2098 of the family's 2925-position model. The record is from RNAcentral. Lineage: Bacteria; Pseudomonadati; Campylobacterota; Epsilonproteobacteria; Campylobacterales; Helicobacteraceae.